RNAcentral lists this ribosomal RNA (451 nucleotides) under uncultured bacterium. RNAcentral describes it as "bacterial SSU rRNA". It matches the Rfam family "Bacterial small subunit ribosomal RNA", at positions 354 to 796 of the family's 1533-position model. The record is from RNAcentral.
GUGGGGAAUAUUGGACAAUGGGGGGAACCCUGAUCCAGCCAUGCCGCGUGUGUGAAGAAGGCCUUUUGGUUGUAAAGCACUUUAAGCGAGGAGGAGGCUACCGAGAUUAAUACUCUUGGAUAGUGGACGUUACUCGCAGAAUAAGCACCGGCUAACUCUGUGCCAGCAGCCGCGGUAAUACAGAGGGUGCACGCGUUAAUCGGAUUUACUGGGCGUAAAGCGCACGUAGGUGGCUAAUUAAGUCCACUGUGAAAUCCCCGAGCUUAACUUGGGAAUUGCAUUCGAUACUGGUUGGCUAGAGUAUGGGAGAGGAUGGUAGAAUUCCAGGUGUAGCGGUGAAAUGCGUAGAGAUCUGGAGGAAUACCGAUGGCGAAGGCAGCCAUCUGGCCUAAUACUGACACUGAGGUGCGAAAGCAUGGGGAGCAAACAGGAUUAGAUACCCUAGUAGUCC